This 249-nucleotide long non-coding RNA is filed under the name Erythranthe guttata (spotted monkey flower). RNAcentral describes it as "long non-coding RNA (EGUT_LNC001137)". The record is from RNAcentral. Lineage: Eukaryota; Viridiplantae; Streptophyta; Magnoliopsida; Lamiales; Phrymaceae.
CCGUCUCCAAACAAUUAUGUGUUUUUUCUUGAACUCAGAACAUUCCACUUGAGAAACCCAUUAUUGACUGUUUCGAGCGAGUAGUUUAGAGUGGAGGGUUUUGACAGGAUUGGAGAAGGAGAUUUUUUUAGUGAGUGUAUUGAAGAAUCGGCGAACGGGAGGCCCUAUGACGAGACGAUGUUCCUCGCAAGUUCAACGGAGUGUCCCACGCUUCUCGAUGCAGGUGGCCUUGAGCCAAGCUGCACCGCC